Molecule: ribosomal RNA, 267 nt
Filed under: uncultured bacterium
Lineage: Bacteria
Description: partial 16S ribosomal RNA
Rfam family: Bacterial small subunit ribosomal RNA
Source: RNAcentral
GCAAGUCGCGCGAGAACGGUCCCUUCGGGGGCUCAGUAAAGCGGCGCACGGGUGAGUAACACGUGGGUAAUCUACCCUUCGGACGGGGGACAACCUCGGGAAACCGGGGCUAAUACCGCGUACGACCCUCUUCCCUUCGGGGAUAGGGGUGAUAGGGGGCCUCUCCAUGGAAGCUCUCGACGGAGGAGGAGCCCGCGGCCCAUCAGCUUGUUGGUGGGGUAACGGCCUACCAAGGCAACGACGGGUAGCUGGUCUGAGAGGAUGAUC